CCUAAGACUAAGCCAUGCAUGCCUUCGAAUAAGAAGAAAGCAAUUCUCUCUGAAUCUGCGAACGGCUCCGCAAACCAGUUGUAAACCAUAGCGAGCACGCCCUCGGCCCUCGGGCUGGGGGCGAUAAGGAUAACCCUGGUAAUUCUGAGGCUAAUACUUGACCGUAACACCUGGCCGACCGGCAACGGGAGGCUGGGGGUCGUGUAAGCACCUCACGCAGAAUUCACCGGGAAGGGAUGCACGUUCAGACCACCACAAACAACGGUUGCAGGAGGACCCGCGCAAGCGGCGAUACCUGCUUCCGGGUGGCUCUCGCUCGGUGCUUCUGACCUAUCAACUAGAUGGCAGUGUAAGGGACAUGCUAUGGUUACAACGGGUACAGAGGAUAAGGGUUCGAUCCUGGAGAGUGGGCCUGAGAGAUUGCUCACACUUCUAAGGAAGGCAGCAGGCGCGCAACGUUCCCAUUGGGCAAUGCCCGAGGGCGUUAGGGGACAUAUGAAUGCCUGUCUUAUGAUGGGCAAUUCAAAUGGGUUUGUUGUAAACAGCCCUUCGAGUAACAAUUAGAGGACAAGUCUGGUGCCAGCACCCGCGGUAAUUCCAGCUCUAAUAGCAUACGUUAAAGUUGUUGCGGUUAAAACGCUCGUAGUCGGCGCCAGAUCUUCAGAACCUUCGGCUGGGAAUCGGACCUGUUGCUCUCCGGAGCGCACCCGAGGUACUGGCUGGGGGGGACGUCGAUCAACUGCGUCUCGUGCUGUCUCCUCCGGGAGUCACAGGGCGUCUGGGGGGGGGCUCGCUCUCUCCCAGGCGUUCGGCGCGGGAUGCCAUUCACUAUGACUAAACUGGGGUGAUCAAAGCAUGUCUUUGGACACGUACAGCGCAGCAUAGCAUGAAUCUCCGCCCUUCCGACCCUAUCUGCGGGGGUCGGGGGGGCAGAAGCGAAAGGGGUGUUCGAGGGUGACCGAAUUGCCGGGCGAGUGGUGAAAUACGUUGACCCUGGCAAGUCGACCAAUGGCGAAAGCAGUCAUCAAGGGCACGCCCGUUGAUCAAGAGCGAAAGUUAAGGGUUCGAAGACGAUCAGAUACCGUCGUAGUCUUAACUAUAAAUGAUGCUAACCAGGGAUAGGACACUGUCCAUCUCGACUCCUCCUGCACCUUAGAGAAAUUACAGUCUU
This 1171-nucleotide ribosomal RNA is filed under the name Nannengaella mellea. RNAcentral's name for it is "bacterial SSU rRNA". It matches the Rfam family "Eukaryotic small subunit ribosomal RNA", at positions 37 to 1107 of the family's 1831-position model. The record is from RNAcentral. Lineage: Eukaryota; Evosea; Eumycetozoa; Physariida; Physaraceae.